This 253-nucleotide ribosomal RNA is filed under the name uncultured bacterium. RNAcentral describes it as "partial 16S ribosomal RNA". It matches the Rfam family "Bacterial small subunit ribosomal RNA", at positions 524 to 776 of the family's 1533-position model. The record is from RNAcentral.
UACGGAGGGUGCAAGCGGUAUCCGGAUUCACUGGGUUUAAAGGGUGCGUAGGUGGGCUGGUAAGUCAGUGGUGAAAUCCCCGAGCUUAACUUGGGAACUGCCAUUGAUACUAUCAGUCUUGAAUACCGUGGAGGUCAGCGGAAUAUGUCAUGUAGCGGUGAAAUGCUUAGAUAUGACAUAGAACACCAAUUGCGAAGGCAGCUGGCUACACGAAUAUUGACACUGAGGCACGAAAGCGUGGGGAUCAAACAGG